CCUACGGGAGGCAGCAGUUAGGAAUAUUGGUCAAUGGGCGCGAGCCUGAACCAGCCAAGUCGCGUGAGGGAAGACGGUCCUAUGGAUUGUAAACCUCUUUUGUCGGGGAGCAAAAGACGCCACGCGUGGCGUUCCGAGAGUACCCGAAGAAAAAGCAUCGGCUAACUCCGUGCCAGCAGCCGCGGUAAUACGGAGGAUGCGAGCGUUAUCCGGAUUUAUUGGGUUUAAAGGGUGCGCAGGCGGAAGAUCAAGUCAGCGGUAAAAUUGAGAGGCUCAACCUCUUCGAGCCGUUGAAACUGGUUGUGGUGAGGGGGCGAGAAGUAUGCGGGAGGGGUGGUGUAGUGGUGAAAUGUAGAGAGA
RNAcentral lists this ribosomal RNA (360 nucleotides) under uncultured bacterium. Its description in RNAcentral is "partial 16S ribosomal RNA". It matches the Rfam family "Bacterial small subunit ribosomal RNA", at positions 338 to 696 of the family's 1533-position model. The record is from RNAcentral.